This 848-nucleotide ribosomal RNA is filed under the name uncultured bacterium. Its description in RNAcentral is "bacterial SSU rRNA". It matches the Rfam family "Bacterial small subunit ribosomal RNA", at positions 8 to 812 of the family's 1533-position model. The record is from RNAcentral.
AGAGUUUGAUCCUGGCUCAGGAUGAACUUCGGCGGUGUGCCUAAUACAUGCAAGUCGUACGCACUGGCCCAACUGAUUGAUGGUGCUUGCACCUGAUUGACGAUGGAUCACCAGUGAGUGGCGGACGGGUGAGUAACACGUAGGUAACCUGCCUCGGAGCGGGGGAUAACAUUUGGAAACAGAUGCUAAUACCGCAUAACAACAAAAGCCACAUGGCUUUUGUUUGAAAGAUGGCUUUGGCUAUCACUCUGGGAUGGACCUGCGGUGCAUUAGCUAGUUGGUAAGGUAACGGCUUACCAAGGCAAUGAUGCAUAGCCGAGUUGAGAGACUGACCGGCCACAAUGGAACUGAGACACGGUCCAUACUCCUACGGGAGGCAGCAGUAGGGAAUCUUCCACAAUGGGCGCAAGCCUGAUGGAGCAACACCGCGUGAGUGAAGAAGGGUUUCGGCUCGUAAAGCUCUGUUGUUGGAGAAGAACGUGCGUGAGAGUAACUGUUCACGCAGUGACGGUAUCCAACCAGAAAGUCACGGCUAACUACGUGCCAGCAGCCGCGGUAAUACGUAGGUGGCAAGCGUUAUCCGGAUUUAUUGGGCGUAAAGCGAGCGCAGGCGGUUGCUUAGGUCUGAUGUGAAAGCCUUCGGCUUAACCGAAGAAGUGCAUCGGAAACCGGGCGACUUGAGUGCAGAAGAGGACAGUGGAACUCCAUGUGUAGCGGUGGAAUGCGUAGAUAUAUGGAAGAACACCAGUGGCGAAGGCGGCUGUCUGGUCUGCAACUGACGCUGAGGCUCGAAAGCAUGGGUAGCGAACAGGAUUAGAUACCCUGGUAGUCCAUGCCGUAAACGAUGA